RNAcentral lists this unclassified non-coding RNA (181 nucleotides) under uncultured Eurotiomycetes. RNAcentral describes it as "sequence contains ITS1". The record is from RNAcentral. Lineage: Eukaryota; Fungi; Ascomycota; Eurotiomycetes.
CUGAGUUAGGGUCCCUGUGGCCCGAUCUCCAACCCUUUGUAUAUACCACUUUGUUGCUUUGGCAGGCCCGCCCUUUCGGGGGCCGCUGGAGGUGUUUAGUCACUUCUGGUCAGUGCUUGCCAGUAGCCAAAUCAAAUUCUUCUAUAACAAUGAAGUCUGAAUCUUUAAUUAAAUAUAAUUA